UCCUUAACAUCAAAAUCCCUUGUCCCUCCUUUUUCAUUCAGCAACUCCAAGAAUUCUUAAGUAAAGAGUUUGGCCUUUCUAUUUGCUCCUCUAACAAUUUAUCCAAUUUUUGCCAUCUUUGAUACAGCAACUCCUCUAAGCAUUUUUUUUACUCUUCUUUCAAAAAUUUCUAGCAUUCCCUUAAGAUCCUUUUGUUCCCAAGAUUGUAC
RNAcentral lists this unclassified non-coding RNA (209 nucleotides) under Hevea brasiliensis (rubber tree). The record is from RNAcentral. Lineage: Eukaryota; Viridiplantae; Streptophyta; Magnoliopsida; Malpighiales; Euphorbiaceae.